GCGGCCAUGUUUGUAUCUUGAGAGUUUUCUGCGGUUUUUUUGUCCUACUAUUCCUUAUGUGAUUGGAACUCCGUCUUCUAAGAAUAUUCACAAAAAAUAUUUGCGUAACAGUUGGAUUAUCUAAAACUACAUCAUUACAAAGUUUCACGAUGUGCUGCAUAGUAAAAGGAUGCACUCGAAGUAGAUUAACUAAUAACGACGCAAGGUUUUACUCCAUUCCCAAAGUGAGAAAUGACGAAACAGAGUUGUUGGUGGAAAGAAGAGCUCUUUGGUUAAAAAGAGUUAACAUUAAAGAAAAACAACUGCUUGUUUCUGGUAAAGUUUGCGACAAGCACUUCAUUUUAGGCAAACCUAGUUAUGAACGUGAUAUAUCUAAUCCAGAUUGGGCACCAACUUUGUUAUUAGAAAACAACGAACAGCUUUCAGCAAACAGGUGUCAGAGAAGAUAUAUACUUAGCCAGGCUAGAGCAUUAUUAGAUAUUUCAGCAAGGUUUGCUAGGAAAGGAACUAUUUGCUUUGAAGAGCCUGAACAGCAGAUUGAGAUUGAUUCAAGACAUGAUGAUUGAAGUAAUUCUCCAUUACUUUCAUUGCUAUUGAUUAUGGCAAGCGAUUCGACACACGAACUACCAGACGGAGACUGAGACUGAGAGUCUUGGGAAACACAGGAACCUAAAAUGUAUAUGGAAGAAGAAUAAAUAAGAAGUAUUUUAAACAUGUGCCUGAUAAGCUAGUUUCAUUACUGUUCAGACUUAUAAUGGAAUCAGGUGAUGAGAUGGAUUGAAGAUUUUUGUUUAUUUCAUUAUCUGGAUCAGACAUCUCCAUUUGUGUCUGCUGUUCAGGCUCUUCAAGCUAGCUGCAAGCAGUGGAACAAGGCAAGAGAGGGUAGAGUUACUGCCAGUAAAGUUUACGACGUGUCAAAAACCAACCUGAGUAAUCCUUCGAAAUCCCUAUUACAACAAGUGGCGUACCCAACGGAUUGUGCGUUCCGCUCAAAAGCCACAGACUGGGGGAUAAAGCACGAAGGGGCAGCAAUAAGGAGAUUCAAACAAUAUAUGAAAGAGGCAAACUUACAUACCAACUUUGAGAUACAUGGCGCUGGCUUGUAUGUUUGUCCUUCACAUGGAUAUUUGGCGGCAACCCCUGAUGGAAUUUUCAAAUGCGCUUGUCACGAAGAUGCUGUGAUGGAAAUGAAAUGUCCCUAUUCUCACAGGAAUAAUACUUCAGGCGAAGCUGCUACUCCCGAUACAAAGUUCUGUCUGACCGUAGACGACAAUGGAAUAUUACAACUAAAACGAUGUCAGCCCUACUUUUACACCAUGCUCUAUAGGUUCUAUGUACCUUAAGAAAACUCAAAAGCCAUCUAUUGAGCUUAGCAGGCGAAUUUCAUUCGUUUCCCUUUCCACAUUUCCCCUCCAUCCCAAAUGCUUCGCCCUAAAUCCCUUCGGGAAAUUUCAAGUUCAGUUGUCAAUCAGCAAGAUCAUGCGAUUUUAGUUGAUAGAUGGCACCGGCGGCCUGCCCUUUUCCCCCUCCUUCCUAAAUUAAAAUCGCAAUAUCUUCUUAAAUGAAACUUUUUUACAAUAAGAUGGUUAGAAUCGACUUUUAAAGCUGCAUUAAAUUGUUUAUUUUUUUAUUUUUCUCGUGAAAAUAGCCCACCCGACACCCUUUAACAAGGCGAGUUAGAGAAAGAAUCCCAUCCUUUAGUUAGAGUAGUCCCUGACUCUAAUCUGGGUUCCAGCCCCAUCGGGGACCACUUCGUCAGCGGGGGUUGAACGGGGAAAAUGAUGUCCCAAUAUUUAACUUAAUUUCAAGAGCAUUCGUAUUAAUAUGUGUUUGUUGUUCAAAUUAACAUGCCUCUAUGGCGCAAUUGGCUAGCGCGUUCGGCUGUUAACCGGAAGGCUGGUGGUUCGAGCCCACCUAGGGGCGCAAUAUUUUUCCUCUUUACCUAAAAUUUUGAGGGGUCUGGUAGGAAAGAAUCAAGGAAUACUGGUAAAGGACGAGAAGGCAUUUGCAGAAAAAUUUUGCAGCACUUCAAAAUUUUUAAGUGUAGGGCAAGGGCGGACAAGGGUUCCCGUGUGACCUAAUGACUUCAGCUAUCUACCAUACCCCCCCCCCCAAGCAUUACUUGUUCUGUAACAAGGUGCUUUGGAAUAACUUGCACUGCCUCUCUUUUCUUAUUCCACCUUUUUUAUAUUGAGAACUUGAAGGUUAAAAAGAGUCUAUAUUUAAUCAACUAUUUCCUGAUUCAAACGCCGCUGAUGAAGUUAUAAAUUAUUACCACUGGCGCUAAAUAUAGAUUUUUUUCCGCAA
Long non-coding RNA from Daphnia magna, 2307 nucleotides. RefSeq lists it as uncharacterized. The record is from RefSeq and is a predicted model, not a curated record. The transcript is spliced from 5 exons. NCBI's taxonomy places the organism in Eukaryota, Metazoa, Arthropoda, Branchiopoda, Diplostraca, Daphniidae.